RNAcentral lists this ribosomal RNA (192 nucleotides) under uncultured bacterium. Its description in RNAcentral is "partial 16S ribosomal RNA". It matches the Rfam family "Bacterial small subunit ribosomal RNA", at positions 335 to 524 of the family's 1533-position model. The record is from RNAcentral.
ACUCCUACGGGAGGCAGCAGUGAGGAAUAUUGGUCAAUGGGCGAGAGCCUGAACCAGCCAAGUCGCGUGAAGGAUGAAGGUUCUAUGGAUUGUAAACUUCUUUUGUAAGGGAAUAAAAAGUAGUACGUGUACUAUAUUGUAUGUACUUUACGAAUAAGGAUCGGCUAACUCCGUGCCAGCAGCCGCGGUAAU